GGGUGUGUAGCUCAAUGGUAGAGCAGCGGUCUCCAAAACCAAAGACGAGGGUUCGAUUCCUUACUCACCCG
Molecule: transfer RNA, 71 nt
Filed under: Rhizobium phage B1VFA
Lineage: Duplodnaviria; Heunggongvirae; Uroviricota; Caudoviricetes
Also listed under: 1 other name
Rfam family: tRNA
About the family: Transfer RNA (tRNA) molecules are approximately 80 nucleotides in length.
Source: Rfam by way of RNAcentral